This 305-nucleotide ribosomal RNA is filed under the name uncultured bacterium. RNAcentral describes it as "bacterial SSU rRNA". It matches the Rfam family "Bacterial small subunit ribosomal RNA", at positions 333 to 655 of the family's 1533-position model. The record is from RNAcentral.
ACCUGCCUACGGGGCGCAGCAGUGGGGAAUAUUGCACAAUGGGGGAAACCCUGAUGCAGCGACGCCGCGUGAAGGAAGAAGUAUUUCGGUAUGUAAACUUCUAUCAGCAGGGAAGAAAAUGACGGUACCUGACUAAGAAGCCCCGGCUAACUACGUGCCAGCAGCCGCGGUAAUACGUAGGGGGCAAGCGUUAUCCGGAUUUACUGGGUGUAAAGGGCGUGUAGCCGGGCUGACAAGUCAGAUGUGCAAUCCGGGGGCUCAACCCCCGAACUGCAUUUGAAACUGUUGGUCUUGAGUAUCGGAGA